This 85-nucleotide transfer RNA is filed under the name Felis catus (domestic cat). It matches the Rfam family "tRNA". Rfam says of the family: Transfer RNA (tRNA) molecules are approximately 80 nucleotides in length. Their secondary structure includes four short double-helical elements and three loops (D, anti-codon, and T loops). The record is from Rfam by way of RNAcentral. Lineage: Eukaryota; Metazoa; Chordata; Mammalia; Carnivora; Felidae.
GCCUGGGUGGCUCAGUUGGUUGAGCAUCCGACUUCAGCUCAGGUCGUGAUCUCGCGGUCCGUGAGUUCGAGCCCCACGUUAGGCU